AUUGAACGCUGGCGGCAUGCUUUACACAUGCAAGUCGAACGGCAGCACGGACUUCGGUCUGGUGGCGAGUGGCGAACGGGUGAGUAAUACAUCGGAACGUGCCCAGUUGUGGGGGAUGACUACUCGAAAGAGUAGCUAAUACCGCAUGAGAACUGAGGUUGAAAGCAGGGGAUCGUAAGACCUUGCGCAACUGGAGCGGCCGAUGGCAGAUUAGGUAGUUGGUGGGAUAAAAGCUUACCAAGCCGACGAUCUGUAGCUGGUCUGAGAGGACGACCAGCCACACUGGGACUGAGACACGGCCCAGACUCCUACGGGAGGCAGCAGUGGGGAAUUUUGGACAAUGGGCGAAAGCCUGAUCCAGCAAUGCCGCGUGCAGGAUGAAGGCCUUCGGGUUGUAAACUGCUUUUGUACGGAACGAAAAGCUUCGGGUUAAUACCCUGGAGUCAUGACGGUACCGUAAGAAUAAGCACCGGCUAACCACGUGCCAGCAGCCGCGGUAA
Molecule: ribosomal RNA, 500 nt
Filed under: uncultured bacterium
Lineage: Bacteria
Description: partial 16S ribosomal RNA
Rfam family: Bacterial small subunit ribosomal RNA
Source: RNAcentral